Molecule: non-coding RNA, 361 nt
Organism: Poecilia reticulata (guppy)
Lineage: Eukaryota; Metazoa; Chordata; Actinopteri; Cyprinodontiformes; Poeciliidae
Source: RefSeq, a predicted model, not a curated record
UGGGGUUGCUAGGUAACGGGCGGAACUCUGCUGGGGUUGCUAGGUAACGGGCGGAACUCUGCUGGGGUUGCCAGGUAACAGGCAGUGCCCGCUGAUUUGUUAUGUUGCACUCUGGAGGUUCUUGAAAUGGCUAAUUUUCAAGACAGUAAAAAAUAUUAACUUAUAGCCAAAAAACGUCUGAAUGGUGUUUAUUUCAGGAGCAGUACAGACUUAAAUCGAAGCAAAAAAACGUGCAAACUCUGAAUUUUACAUAACACAUCCCCCCUUUUGAGUCAAGCUCCUAUAUGUCAUUGGAAAGUUACCUGUAAUUUGGGUUUGUCUUAUUUUAGGUGAACUAAGAUAUUUGAACAAGAACGUAGAC